GCGCACCUCCCCUGUAACGUGUACCCCCCCCCCCCCAAAUUCUCUACGGAUUUAGCCUUUUUCGGAGAUUUUGUUUUUCUCCGAAAAAGGCUAACUCCAUAGAGAAUUUGGGGGGUGGGGGGGGGGGGGUACACGUUACAUCCUCGAAGCUG
Molecule: non-coding RNA, 152 nt
Organism: Paramuricea clavata
Lineage: Eukaryota; Metazoa; Cnidaria; Anthozoa; Malacalcyonacea; Plexauridae
Source: the annotation of a GenBank genome assembly